This 243-nucleotide unclassified non-coding RNA is filed under the name Hevea brasiliensis (rubber tree). The record is from RNAcentral. Lineage: Eukaryota; Viridiplantae; Streptophyta; Magnoliopsida; Malpighiales; Euphorbiaceae.
CCGCCUUGGUUUCACAGCGACAGAGAACAUAGGAAGAAGAUUCAACAAGAAUACGAGCGCCGGAGGAAGCAGCUCAACGAUCUCUGUCUCGCCGUCAAGGCCGAUUCCGUCUCCGACUUGCAGGAAAUUCUCUGUUGCAUGGUCCUCUCCGAGUGUGUAUAUAAGGUAAAACACUAAAACUGUUUGAACAAAUUUAAGGCUGACUUUGGAGGACAAGUUGUUUCUCUGGAGCGUGUGCAACCC